GAGAGGAGUUCACAUCAGUUCCUCAUCAACAUCCACCAUGUUCUCUGCAGCUGUGAUGCUGCUGCUGGCAGCUGGAUCCUGUGUGAGGUGUAUUGACCUCAUCCAGCCAAACUCAGUGGUUGUGCAGGGUGGACAGUCUUUGACCUUCACCUGUCAGGUCUCUGGUUAUUCUCUGACUGAUGACAGCUAUGCGACAGGUUGGAUAAGACAUCGUGAAGGAAAACCAAUGGACUGGAUUUUUUAUCAGUGGGGUAGAGGUACCAUCCGUAAAAAUAGUGCUCUAGAGAACAAGUUCAGCUUCAGCAGAGACACUUCGGCAAGAACAAUACAAGGACAGAAUCUGGAGCCUGAGGACACAGCUGUUUAUUACUGUGUCCGUUAUCUCACAGUGACACAAAAUACCAACAGACUUGUACAAAAACUCUGA
Non-coding RNA from Solea solea (common sole), 427 nucleotides. The record is from the annotation of a RefSeq genome assembly. NCBI's taxonomy places the organism in Eukaryota, Metazoa, Chordata, Actinopteri, Pleuronectiformes, Soleidae.